CUCCAGACUCCUACGGGAGGCAGCAGUGGGGAAUAUUGCACAAUGGGGGGAACCCUGAUGCAGCGACGCCGCGUGGGUGAAGGAGCACCUCGGUGCGUAAAGCCCUAUCGGCAGGGAAGAAAAGCGAACAGGUUCGCCUGGACGGUACCUGACUAAGAAGCCCCGGCUAACUACGUGCCAGCAGCCGCGGUAAUACGUAGGGGGCAAGCGUUAUCCGGAUUUACUGGGUGUAAAGGGAGCGUAGACGGCAGCGCAAGUCCGAAGUGAAAGCCCGGGGCCCAACCCCGGGACUGCUUUGGAAACUGUGAAGCUGGAGUGCGGGAGGGGCAGGCGGAAUUCCUGGUGUAGCGGUGAAAUGCGUAGAUAUCAGGAGGAACACCGGCGGCGAAGGCGGCCUGCUGGACCGUAACUGACGUUGAGGCUCGAAAGCGUGGGGAGCAAACAGGAUUAGAUACCCUAGUA
RNAcentral lists this ribosomal RNA (462 nucleotides) under uncultured bacterium. RNAcentral's name for it is "bacterial SSU rRNA". It matches the Rfam family "Bacterial small subunit ribosomal RNA", at positions 329 to 792 of the family's 1533-position model. The record is from RNAcentral.